Molecule: ribosomal RNA, 507 nt
Filed under: uncultured bacterium
Lineage: Bacteria
Description: partial 16S ribosomal RNA
Rfam family: Bacterial small subunit ribosomal RNA
Source: RNAcentral
GACGAACGCUGGCGGCGUGCCUAAUACAUGCAAGUCGAACGCAUUUUCUUUCACCGUAGCUUGCUACACCGAAAGAAAAUGAGUGGCGAACGGGUGAGUAACACGUGGGUAACCUGCCCAUCAGCGGGGGAUAACACUUGGAAACAGGUGCUAAUACCGCAUAAUUCCAUUUACCGCAUGGUAAAUGGAUGAAAGGCGCUUUUGCGUCACUGAUGGAUGGACCCGCGGUGCAUUAGCUAGUUGGUGGGGUAACGGCCUACCAAGGCUGCGAUGCAUAGCCGACCUGAGAGGGUGAUCGGCCACACUGGGACUGAGACACGGCCCAGACUCCUACGGGAGGCAGCAGUAGGGAAUCUUCGGCAAUGGACGCAAGUCUGACCGAGCAACGCCGCGUGAGUGAAGAAGGUUUUCGGAUCGUAAAACUCUGUUGUUAGAGAAGAACGAGGAUGAGAGUGGAAAGUUCAUCCCUUGACGGUAUCUAACCAGAAAGCCACGGCUAACUACGUG